Long non-coding RNA from Cercocebus atys (sooty mangabey), 1215 nucleotides. RefSeq lists it as uncharacterized. The transcript is spliced from 2 exons. NCBI's taxonomy places the organism in Eukaryota, Metazoa, Chordata, Mammalia, Primates, Cercopithecidae. The record is from RefSeq and is a predicted model, not a curated record.
AGCCACAAUCUCGUUAGAGGCCUCUCUCAGCAUUGUUAGCCUACGGUAAAACAAAAACAACACACUUUUGGUAGGCAGGCAUGCUCCAUGAACACGCAGCCUGGGCAUGCUAAGUUGUUAUCUGGGAAACGAACAGACUGACAUAUAAUGAGCCAAGCCAUUUCUUUGGCUGGGGUUUUUAACUAAAUGUCUCAUAAAAAAUAAAAUCCUCACUUCACCCUCUAGUAACCUGUAGCAAAAUCACCAUAAUGUGGUAUUAAAAAGUUAAACUCAUGAAAUUUAACCUAAUUUCUAGAUAUUAAAAUAGACAUAUUCUGAAAAUUACAUAUAGAGUUUAAUGUUUGUUAGCAUUUAAAAAUAUUGACACUCACUAUAAAAUAACUUGGUAUUCGUUGUUCAUUUAUUGUACAAUUAAUCAUAUAAUAGAAUGGAGUUACUCUCAGCUAAGAGUGAAUAAAUAAGUAAGGAUUUUAAAUACUCAUUUUAUUGUGUGCGCUCACGGUCUAGCAGGGAGAAUCCUAUGUUAAGGAAGUUUUUCUUCUAAACUAGCAGAAGACUCAUUUUUAACAAAAGCCCUGGCACGGGCUGAAGUGGCAUUUUAAGUGGUGUAAGUGGUGCUCCAGAAGAUAAAUACCGCUUAUAUGGAAUAUAUAAAGCAGGAGUACUAGGAUGGUUUAGAACAUCUCAUACUCUGUUGAGUUUCAUGUUCUCCGAACGCAAACAUUCUUUCCAUUGAUAACUAAAUGUUCAGCUUUAAUUUGUCUGGUGACAUAACGACAAACUGGCACAGACUAGUUAAUAAAUGUCUAGCCAUGAAGUGAACAUAAGGGGAACCAUUAAUGACUACUAUGAGUUAUAAAUUUCUUUGUUUACAUAGUAAGUGUACUGUUUGGAAAUAUGUGUGAAACAAAUUGUAUUUUACAUAUAUGAGAAUUACUAUUUAAAGAUACUAUAAUGAACCUUAUAAUCACUCUUAUAUUUUCAUAUGUAUUUGUUUUGCAGUGCUGUGACUUUUAUUCACUAUGAAGGACUUUUGAUAAAGACAAAGUAUAUCUAUAUCUUUUUACAUCACAGUAGAAAGCUAUUCCUUCCAAAUGUCCAUGACUGCGUUAUUUAUGAUAUACUUUGUCACUCUUAAGUUUCUAAAAAGUUUUCUAUAUACACACAUACAAAUGCAUGCUAUAUAUGUAUACGCACGUGUUAACAGUAGUUCAA